AACGAUACUGUUUCAGUUAACUGUGAAUAGCUUGCUUGCACCGUAUUGUUCUUGUUUUUCGGUUAGUUAAACAUCGUACUUCAUAUUUGAACGUUCUGCCGGAAUGCAUUAUCAAUAGAGGUAAAGUCGCAACCCCAAAUCGUAAAGGAAACCGUAGCACGUCGUAUGCAAGAACGUGCCACG
This 183-nucleotide non-coding RNA is filed under the name Shigella boydii. Its description in RNAcentral is "Chromosome-encoded Shigella sRNA B". It matches the Rfam family "Chromosome-encoded Shigella sRNA B". RNAcentral also lists the same sequence under 2 other names. Lineage: Bacteria; Pseudomonadati; Pseudomonadota; Gammaproteobacteria; Enterobacterales; Enterobacteriaceae. The record is from RNAcentral.